Molecule: long non-coding RNA, 775 nt
Filed under: Chinchilla lanigera (long-tailed chinchilla)
Lineage: Eukaryota; Metazoa; Chordata; Mammalia; Rodentia; Chinchillidae
Description: lncRNA (ENSCLAG00000022875.1)
Source: RNAcentral
CGCUCACCCAGCCAAGACUCCUGGGCCCCAGCGUCCCGGCAGAACGUCUCCGCCCCGCCCUCCCGGCCACGCCUCCCAGACCACGCCUUCCCACUCCCGCUCGCCGGGCCACACCUCUCAGGCACUGCAGCCUGGCCAGACACAGCAACCCCGCCGCCCGGCUCCGCCUCCCAGGCUCUGGGACCACUGGCAAGCCUUCUUUGAUUCCCGGUCCCACCCACGCUUGCCUCGGCCCGGGAGCCCCACCCACCCUUUCACUCCUCGGCUCAGCUGCCAGCAGGGUACCGCUGGCCGGCGAGCCGGGCGGGCGCCGCGUCUCCAGCAUCCACGAGGGACUCCAUCGAAGCUCGCGCGGACAGCGGAGCAGGAAUCGGCCCCAGAGGACCCAUGGCGCCUACCGCGACCCCUGACUUCCUCCUGCGCGUCCUGGCUCCGCUGCUACUGUUAUUGCUGCUGCUGGUGUUGGAACCUCUCUGGGCGGCCUGCAAUGGCACCCUCUCUCUUUGCUAUGAAUUCACCACCUAUCCUAAGCCCCCGCCCGGACAGCAGUGGUGCACAAUCCAGGGUCUGGUGGAUCAGAAAACGUUUCUUUCCUAUGACUGUGGGGGUGUCAAAGCCAAAUCCAUGGAUGUCGUUGGAGGAAAGGUGAACAGCACCGAGACCUGGGGACAGCAGCUACAAACACUACAGGAUUUGGGCCACAAGUUCAGAAAGUUGCUGCUUGACAUUAACCCUGGUAAGUCAGAAUACUCCAAGGGAAUAAGAGAUCGGGUAU